GCCUUCUUCACCUCACAUUCAAGUUUUCAUCUGUUGUUGAAUCUCUAAACAAUCUACCCUGAAGAUAUUGGGGCUAAUAAGUCUAGCUGGUGUCUGCAAAUCUACCAGAAAAUAUGGUAUUCUGUUUCAAAAGAAUUAUGUUUCAACCUCCAGCAUGCCCAACUCAAUAUGGAUUCCCGCUAAUGUUUUUUACAAUGUGUUUCAACCUCCAGAAUGCCCUAUUCAAUAUGUUCCAACCUCCAACAUGACUUUUUAGGGAUUAUUCCCAUUUAGUUAGAAUUUG
This 283-nucleotide unclassified non-coding RNA is filed under the name Hevea brasiliensis (rubber tree). Lineage: Eukaryota; Viridiplantae; Streptophyta; Magnoliopsida; Malpighiales; Euphorbiaceae. The record is from RNAcentral.